This is a non-coding RNA of Ictidomys tridecemlineatus (thirteen-lined ground squirrel), 72 nucleotides long. The record is from Rfam. Lineage: Eukaryota; Metazoa; Chordata; Mammalia; Rodentia; Sciuridae.
GGGGUUGUGGUUCAGCUGUAGAGCACUCACCUAGCAUGUGUGAGGCCCUGGGUUCGAUCCUCAGCACCCCUU